RNAcentral lists this transfer RNA (72 nucleotides) under Ovis aries (sheep). It matches the Rfam family "tRNA". Rfam says of the family: Transfer RNA (tRNA) molecules are approximately 80 nucleotides in length. Their secondary structure includes four short double-helical elements and three loops (D, anti-codon, and T loops). The record is from Rfam by way of RNAcentral. Lineage: Eukaryota; Metazoa; Chordata; Mammalia; Artiodactyla; Bovidae.
UCCUUGGUGGCUCAGAUGGUAAAGCGUCUGCCUGCAAUGCAGAAGGCCCAGGUUCGAUCCCUGGGUCAGGAA